AAAUUGAAGAGUUUGAUCAUGGCUCAGAUUGAACGCUGGCGGCAGGCCUAACACAUGCAAGUCGAGCGGAAACGGCAGCAUUGAAGCUUCGGUGGAUUUGCUGGACGUCGAGCGGCGGACGGGUGAGUAACGGCUGGGAACCUGCCCUGACGAGGGGGAUAACCGUUGGAAACGACGGCUAAUACCGCAUAAUGUCUUCGGACCAAAGGUGGCCUCUACAUGUAAGCUAUCGCGUUGGGAUGGGCCCAGUUAGGAUUAGCUAGUUGGUAAGGUAAUGGCUUACCAAGGCAACGAUCCUUAGCUGGUUUGAGAGGAUGAUCAGCCACACUGGGACUGAGACACGGCCCAGACUCCUACGGGAGGCAGCAGUGGGGAAUAUUGCACAAUGGGGGAGACCCUGAUGCAGCCAUGCCGCGUGUGUGAAGAAGGCCUUCGGGUUGUAAAGCACUUUCAGCAGUGAGGAAGGUGGUGUACUUAAUACGUGCAUUGCUUGACGUUAGCUGCAGAAGAAGCACCGGCUAACUCCGUGCCAGCAGCCGCGGUAAUACGGAGGGUGCGAGCGUUAAUCGGAAUUACUGGGCGUAAAGCGCAUGCAGGCGGUUUGUUAAGUCAGAUGUGAAAGCCCGGGGCUCAACCUCGGAACCGCAUUUGAAACUGGCAGGCUAGAGUCUUGUAGAGGGGGGUAGAAUUUCAGGUGUAGCGGUGAAAUGCGUAGAGAUCUGAAGGAAUACCAGUGGCGAAGGCGGCCCCCUGGACAAAGACUGACGCUCAGAUGCGAAAGCGUGGGUAGCAAACAGGAUUAGAUACCCUGGUAGUCCACGCCGUAAACGCUGUCUACUUGGAGGUUGAGGUUUAAGACUUUGGCUUUCGGCGCUAACGCAUUAAGUAGACCGCCUGGGGAGUACGGCCGCAAGGUUAAAACUCAAAUGAAUUGACGGGGGCCCGCACAAGCGGUGGAGCAUGUGGUUUAAUUCGAUGCAACGCGAAGAACCUUACCUACUCUUGACAUCCAGAGAACUUUCCAGAGAUGGAUUGGUGCCUUCGGGAGCUCUGAGACAGGUGCUGCAUGGCUGUCGUCAGCUCGUGUUGUGAAAUGUUGGGUUAAGUCCCGCAACGAGCGCAACCCUUAUCCUUGUUUGCCAGCACAUAAUGGUGGGAACUCCAGGGAGACUGCCGGUGAUAAACCGGAGGAAGGUGGGGACGACGUCAAGUCAUCAUGGCCCUUACGAGUAGGGCUACACACGUGCUACAAUGGCAGAUACAGAGGGCAGCGAAGCUGCGAAGUGGAGCGAAUCCCUUAAAGUCUGUCGUAGUCCGGAUUGGAGUCUGCAACUCGACUCCAUGAAGUCGGAAUCGCUAGUAAUCGUGGAUCAGAAUGCCACGGUGAAUACGUUCCCGGGCCUUGUACACACCGCCCGUCACACCAUGGGAGUGGGCUGCACCAGAAGUAGAUAGCUUAACCUUCGGGAGGGCGUUUACCACGGUGUGGUUCAUGACUGGGGUGAAGUCGUAACAAGGUAGCCCUAGGGGAACCUGGGGCUGGAUCACCUCCUUA
RNAcentral lists this ribosomal RNA (1555 nucleotides) under Salinivibrio kushneri. RNAcentral's name for it is "bacterial SSU rRNA". It matches the Rfam family "Bacterial small subunit ribosomal RNA". Lineage: Bacteria; Pseudomonadati; Pseudomonadota; Gammaproteobacteria; Vibrionales; Vibrionaceae. The record is from RNAcentral.